AACUAAGUUUGUUCUGGGUAUAACCUUUCAUGUGCAUGCACAUUUCUUCAGAUACCGAUGGUGUUUUCAUAUCUGAAGAAGUGUGCAUGCACACAAAAGCUUAUACAGUGGUACCUGGGGU
Podarcis lilfordi (Lilford's wall lizard) is the source of this 121-nucleotide non-coding RNA. Lineage: Eukaryota; Metazoa; Chordata; Lepidosauria; Squamata; Lacertidae. The record is from the annotation of a GenBank genome assembly.